This 1313-nucleotide ribosomal RNA is filed under the name Metabacillus sediminilitoris. RNAcentral describes it as "Bacterial large subunit ribosomal RNA". It matches the Rfam family "Bacterial large subunit ribosomal RNA", at positions 1578 to 2890 of the family's 2925-position model. Lineage: Bacteria; Bacillati; Bacillota; Bacilli; Caryophanales; Bacillaceae. The record is from Rfam by way of RNAcentral.
UAUAGUACCGAAGUUCCUGAUUCCACACUGCCAAGAAAAGCCUCUAGCGAGGUGAGAGGUGCCCGUACCGCAAACCGACACAGGUAGGCGAGGAGAGAAUCCUAAGGUGAGCGAGAGAACUCUCGUUAAGGAACUCGGCAAAAUGACCCCGUAACUUCGGGAGAAGGGGUGCUUUUUCAGGGCUUGCCCUGCGAAAAGCCGCAGUGAAUAGGCCCAGGCGACUGUUUAGCAAAAACACAGGUCUCUGCGAAGCCGCAAGGCGAAGUAUAGGGGCUGACGCCUGCCCGGUGCUGGAAGGUUAAGGGGAGAGGUUAGCGCAAGCGAAGCUUUGAACCGAAGCCCCAGUAAACGGCGGCCGUAACUAUAACGGUCCUAAGGUAGCGAAAUUCCUUGUCGGGUAAGUUCCGACCCGCACGAAAGGCGUAACGAUCUGGGCACUGUCUCAACGAGAGACUCGGUGAAAUUAUAGUACCUGUGAAGAUGCAGGUUACCCGCGACAGGACGGAAAGACCCCGUGGAGCUUUACUGUAGCCUGAUAUUGAAUUUUGGUACAGCUUGUACAGGAUAGGUAGGAGCCUGAGAAGCCGGAGCGCUAGCUUCGGUGGAGGCGUCGGUGGGAUACUACCCUGGCUGUAUUGAAAUUCUAACCCGCAGCCCUUAUCGGGCUGGGAGACAGUGUCAGGUGGGCAGUUUGACUGGGGCGGUCGCCUCCUAAAAUGUAACGGAGGCGCCCAAAGGUUCCCUCAGAAUGGUUGGAAAUCAUUCGUAGAGUGUAAAGGCACAAGGGAGCUUGACUGCGAGACCUACAAGUCGAGCAGGGACGAAAGUCGGGCUUAGUGAUCCGGUGGUUCCGCAUGGAAGGGCCAUCGCUCAACGGAUAAAAGCUACCCCGGGGAUAACAGGCUUAUCUCCCCCAAGAGUCCACAUCGACGGGGAGGUUUGGCACCUCGAUGUCGGCUCAUCGCAUCCUGGGGCUGUAGUCGGUCCCAAGGGUUGGGCUGUUCGCCCAUUAAAGCGGUACGCGAGCUGGGUUCAGAACGUCGUGAGACAGUUCGGUCCCUAUCCGUCGUGGGCGUAGGAAAUUUGAGAGGAGCUGUCCUUAGUACGAGAGGACCGGGAUGGACGCACCGCUGGUGUACCAGUUGUCUUGCCAAAGGCAUAGCUGGGUAGCUAUGUGCGGAAGGGAUAAGUGCUGAAAGCAUCUAAGCAUGAAGCCCCCCUCAAGAUGAGAUUUCCCAUAGCGUAAGCUAGUAAGAUCCCUGAAAGAUGAUCAGGUUGAUAGGUCAGAGGUGGAAGCGCGGUGACGUGUGGAG